GAUGAACGCUGACCGAAUGCUUAACACAUGCAAGUCAACUUGAACUUCGGUUUGGGUGGCGGACGGGUGAGUAACGCGUAACGAACUUGCCUCACAGCUAGGGACAACAUUUGGAAACGAAUGCUAAUACCUGAUAUUAUGAUUUUAGGGCAUCCUAGAAUUAUGAAAGCUAUAUGCGCUGUGAGAGAGCUUUGCGUCCCAUUAGCUAGUUGGAGAGGUAACGGCUCACCAAGGCGAUGAUGGGUAGCCGGCCUGAGAGGGUGAACGGCCACAAGGGGACUGAGACACGGCCCUUACUCCUACGGGAGGCAGCAGUGGGGAAUAUUGGACAAUGGACCAAGAGUCUGAUCCGGCAAUUCUGUGUGCACGAUGAAGUUUUUCGGAAUGUAAAGUGCUUUCAGUUGGGAAGAAAAAAAUGACGGUACCAACAGAAGAAGUGACGGCUAAAUACGUG
This 454-nucleotide ribosomal RNA is filed under the name uncultured bacterium. RNAcentral describes it as "partial 16S ribosomal RNA". It matches the Rfam family "Bacterial small subunit ribosomal RNA", at positions 28 to 507 of the family's 1533-position model. The record is from RNAcentral.